CUUGGCACUUGAGGAAUUCUCUG
RNAcentral lists this microRNA (23 nucleotides) under Branchiostoma floridae (Florida lancelet). RNAcentral describes it as "Bfl-Mir-96-P2i_5p* (star (passenger))". Lineage: Eukaryota; Metazoa; Chordata; Leptocardii; Amphioxiformes; Branchiostomatidae. The record is from RNAcentral. RNAcentral also lists the same sequence under 1 other name.